UCUUAUAUGGAGAGUUUGAUCCUGGCUCAGGACGAACGCUGGCGGCGUGCCUAAUACAUG
RNAcentral lists this ribosomal RNA (60 nucleotides) under Cytobacillus firmus. Its description in RNAcentral is "partial 16S ribosomal RNA". Lineage: Bacteria; Bacillati; Bacillota; Bacilli; Caryophanales; Bacillaceae. The record is from RNAcentral.